Molecule: ribosomal RNA, 327 nt
Filed under: Escherichia coli
Lineage: Bacteria; Pseudomonadati; Pseudomonadota; Gammaproteobacteria; Enterobacterales; Enterobacteriaceae
Description: bacterial SSU rRNA
Rfam family: Bacterial small subunit ribosomal RNA
Source: RNAcentral
AAAUUGAAGAGUUUGAUCAUGGCUCAGAUUGAACGCUGGCGGCAGGCCUAACACAUGCAAGUCGAACGGUAACAGGAAGCAGCUUGCUGCUUCGCUGACGAGUGGCGGACGGGUGAGUAAUGUCUGGGAAACUGCCUGAUGGAGGGGGAUAACUACUGGAAACGGUAGCUAAUACCGCAUAACGUCGCAAGACCAAAGAGGGGGACCUUCGGGCCUCUUGCCAUCGGAUGUGCCCAGAUGGGAUUAGCUAGUAGGUGGGGUAACGGCUCACCUAGGCGACGAUCCCUAGCUGGUCUGAGAGGAUGACCAGCCACACUGGAACUGAGA